AUUGAACGCUGGCGGCAUGCCUUACACAUGCAAGUCGAACGGUAACGCGGGGCAACCUGGCGACGAGUGGCGAACGGGUGAGUAAUGUAUCGGAACGUGCCCAGUUGUGGGGGAUAACUGCUCGAAAGAGCAGCUAAUACCGCAUACGACCUGAGGGUGAAAGCGGGGGAUCGCAAGACCUCGCGCAAUUGGAGCGGCCGAUAUCAGAUUAGGUAGUUGGUGGGGUAAAGGCCCACCAAGCCAACGAUCCGUAGCUGGUCUGAGAGGACGACCAGCCACACUGGGACUGAGACACGGCCCAGACUCCUACGGGAGGCAGCAGUGGGGAAUUUUGGACAAUGGACGCAAGUCUGAUCCAGCCAUGCCGCGUGCGGGAAGAAGGCCUUCGGGUUGUAAACCGCUUUUGUCAGGGAAGAAACGCUCUGGGUUAAUACCUCGGGGUAAUGACGGUACCUGAAGAAUAAGCACCGGCUAACUACGUGCCAGCAGCCGCAGUAA
RNAcentral lists this ribosomal RNA (498 nucleotides) under uncultured bacterium. RNAcentral describes it as "partial 16S ribosomal RNA". It matches the Rfam family "Bacterial small subunit ribosomal RNA", at positions 29 to 523 of the family's 1533-position model. The record is from RNAcentral.